This 1010-nucleotide ribosomal RNA is filed under the name Bacillus sp. UST050418-463. RNAcentral's name for it is "bacterial SSU rRNA". It matches the Rfam family "Bacterial small subunit ribosomal RNA", at positions 43 to 1027 of the family's 1533-position model. The record is from RNAcentral. Lineage: Bacteria; Bacillati; Bacillota; Bacilli; Caryophanales; Bacillaceae.
CGGGUGCUAUAAUGCAGUCGAGCGAACUGAUUAGAAGCUUGCUUCUAUGACGUUAGCGGCGGACGGGUGAGUAACACGUGGGCAACCUGCCUGUAAGACUGGGAUAACUUCGGGAAACCGAAGCUAAUACCGGAUAGGAUCUUCUCCUUCAUGGGAGAUGAUUGAAAGAUGGUUUCGGCUAUCACUUACAGAUGGGCCCGCGGUGCAUUAGCUAGUUGGUGAGGUAACGGCUCACCAAGGCCACGAUGCAUAGCCGACCUGAGAGGGUGAUCGGCCACACUGGGACUGAGACACGGCCCAGACUCCUACGGGAGGCAGCAGUAGGGAAUCUUCCGCAAUGGACGAAAGUCUGACGGAGCAACGCCGCGUGAGUGAUGAAGGCUUUCGGGUCGUAAAACUCUGUUGUUAGGGAAGAACAAGUACAAGAGUAACUGCUUGUACCUUGACGGUACCUAACCAGAAAGCCACGGCUAACUACGUGCCAGCAGCCGCGGUAAUACGUAGUGCAAGCGUUAUCCGGAAUUAUUGGGCGUAAAGCGCGCGCAGGCGGUUUCUUAAGUCUGAUGUGAAAAGCCCAACGGCUCAAACCCGUGGAGGGUCACUUGGAAACUGGGGAACUUGAGUUGCAGAAAGAAGAAAAGCGGAAUUCCACGUGUAGCGGUGAAAUGCGUAGAGAUGUGGAGGAACACCAGUGGCGAAGGCGGCUUUUUGGUCUGUAACUGACGCUGAGGCGCGAAAGCGUGGGGAGCAAACAGGAUUAGAUACCCCUGGUAGUCCACGCCGUAAACGAUGAGUGCUAAGUGUUAGAGGGUUUCCGCCCUUUAGUGCUGCAGCUAACGCAUUAAGCACUCCGCCUGGGGAGUACGGUCGCAAGACUGAAACUCAAAGGAAUUGACGGGGGCCCGCACAAGCGGUGGAGCAUGUGGUUUAAUUCGAAGCAACGCGAAGAACCUUACCAGGUCUUGACAUCCUCUGACAACUCUAGAGAUAGAGCGUGCCCCUUCGGGGAC